AAUUUUUUAAUUAUUAUUUGUGUAUUUAUUUUUGUAUAAUUUUAAUAAAAAUAAUUUUAUUAAUUUUAAGUUUUAGUAUAUUUUAUAGAAAAAAUUUUAUUUAUAAUAAUAAAUUUGUAUUGUAAAAGAUUUUUGAAAAUAAUUAUAUAAUAAUUAAUUUAAAGUAAAUUUUAUUUAUUGUACCUUGUGUAUCAGGGUUUAUUUAAAAAUUAAUAUUAAUAAAUAUUUUUCUCGAAUUUAAAAGAUCUAUUUUAAAUUAUAUAAUUUUUAUUGUUGUAAAAAUAUUUUUAAUAUUAAAAUUGUAAUGAAAUGUUAUUCGUUUUUAAAUAUAUCUAGUUUUUUAAUAAAUGAAUUUAAUUCAGAUAUUAUUUAUAAAUAUAAUUUUAAUUUUUAUUUUUUUUUUAAUAUUAAUAAAAUAGGGGAUAAGCUUUAUUUUAAAAUUUUAAAAUUUUAGUAUAAAUAAUAAAUAUAUUUAUAGGCUUAGAAAUAGUUUUUAUUUUAAAAAUGUUAUAAUUUUUAUAGAUUUAUAAAAUAAAAUUUUUAUAAUAUUUAAAAAUUUAUUAAAAUAAAUUAAAAAAUUAUAAAUUAAUUGUAAUAAUGAUAAAAUUAGUAAAUUAUUUAAUGUUAAAUUUUUAUUAAUUAAAUGAAAGUUUAAUUUAAGAAAUUCGGCAAAAAUUAUAUUCGCCUGUUUAACAAAAACAUGUCUUUUUGAAAUUUAAUUUAAAGUCUGAUCUGCUCUAUGAUUUAUUUUAAUGGCUGCAGUAUCUUGACUGUACAAAGGUAGCAUAAUAAUUAGUCUUUUAAUUAAGGACUGGAAUGAAUGAUUUGAUGAAAUAUAAACUGUCUCUUUUUAAUUAUUAAUUUAAUUUAAUUUUUAAGUUAAAAAGCUUAAAUUUUAUUAAAGGACGAGAAGACCCUAUAGAGUUUUAUAACCUUUUAAUUAUAAAAUUUAAUUAAAUUUUAUAAUUAAAAGGUUAUUUUAUUGGGGCGAUAGAAAAAUUUAUUAAACUUUUUUAUUAUUAUUACAUAAAUAAAUGAAUUUUUGAUCCUUUAUUUAGAUUAUUAGAUAAAAUUACCUUAGGGAUAACAGCGUUAUUUUUUUUAGAGUUCUUAUUUAUAAAAGAGAUUGCGACCUCGAUGUUGGAUUAAAAUUUAAUAUGGGUGUAGAAGCUCAAAAUUUAGGUCUGUUCGACCUUUGAAAUUUUACAUGAUCUGAGUUCAAACCGGUGUAAGCCAGGUUGGUUUCUAUCCUUAAUUAAUUAAAAAUUUUUAGUACGAAAGGACCAAAAUUUUAAAAUAUAUUUUAAAAUAAAUUAAUUUUAUUAAACAUAUUU
RNAcentral lists this ribosomal RNA (1334 nucleotides) under Siobla xizangensis. RNAcentral's name for it is "16S ribosomal RNA". The stretch from base 899 to 1255 matches the Rfam family "Archaeal large subunit ribosomal RNA", at positions 2153 to 2718 of the family's 2987-position model. Lineage: Eukaryota; Metazoa; Arthropoda; Insecta; Hymenoptera; Tenthredinidae. The record is from RNAcentral.